This 1360-nucleotide long non-coding RNA is filed under the name Fukomys damarensis (Damara mole-rat). Its description in RNAcentral is "lncRNA (ENSFDAG00000033643.1)". The record is from RNAcentral. Lineage: Eukaryota; Metazoa; Chordata; Mammalia; Rodentia; Bathyergidae.
AUGAUGGCCAACUACAUCAGUAACAUCACUUAUAACAAUGUGACCAGACCAGUUUUUUACUACUUCUUCCUGACAUUGGCUCCCAGUUUUUACUUCAUCCCUCCUUCUUCACGGAGAAAGGUGAGGCAUGUCUCUAACAAGGAUCUACCAAGCAUUCCCAGCACAAAUGGUUUCUUGGACUCAGGAGAAGGUUCUGAUUUUAGCGCAUCCUGCCUAUGUGGUGCUCUUGGACUCAGGCACUUUCAGGGGUCUGGAAUCUUGGUUUCCACCAUGACAUUUACAGAGCAUCUAAGUCUGCCCAUUGAAAAGCAGCCAGGAUUUAGUGGGCAGUAAUGAGGCUGGCUGGUCUCCAGCAGCUGGAAAACACUGGGACACAUUAAAUGUCACUGAAGGCUUUGUUGGGUUUUGAAUUGAAAAACUGCUAAAGUUAUAAAAGCUUGCAGACUUUGCCUAGAGAAGAAAAACUCCCCCCACCACAAACUACUUUUCUAAGGAACAGUCAGCCCCCUCUUGCACCCCUACCCCAACCCGACACUCACCCCACUUAUACACUAACGAGUUCCCAAAAGCCAUGGUGCUUUCCCAUCAAGUUCCUGUUUCCAGAACUCCUCUUGCUGGUGAGAAAGAAUGCAGCAUCAUUACUAAUUCAAAGCAGAUUGGGCCCAGCUCAGCCUCUAGUGUCUAUCUUCCCAGGAUCCCUUACCCUUUCUUUUUUUCUUAAAAGAAAUGUUUAUACUUAUUUGUUAAAAAAAAAAAAAAAAGCCAUCUUCCACAGAAUGUCAGGUCUUAAAACUAGCAGGGCACUCAAAGACACUGGGAUCAGACUACCACACUCAAGCUGACAUUAGAGUUCCCAUUGUACACACAACAUAACUGAGACCCAGACUAAGUAAAUUAUCCAAAGUCCUAUAGGUAAUAAGUGCAGAGCUCAGAGCCAACUCUCCUUCCUCUUGGCUGUUCUCUCCCUUGAUCAUGUCCCCAUCUGAGAUCAGAGCCUCAGAACUGAAGACGAGCACUUCACUUGUUUUUCUCUUACCAGUUCCGGCCCAGUAGUUUCCUCUUAUAUGAUUUUAUCAAUAGUUAAUCCGAAUGUAUCAUCAUUUUCUUGUUUGUGUUCAACCAACUCCCUCUUAAUGGCCCAUUUCAACCCUAGUGUGGUGACACCCUGCUUUCUUGUUCAAGUAUGAGCAUGUGAGCAUAUGCCUAGGGUAACUCGAGAGGACCCAGCCUCCUAUCCAUUUGCUAACACCUAGGUCGGAAGUAGUCAAGGCCUUGAAUAUUUCAUAAAAGGAUUCUCAUGCAACAGGCUUAUAAGGAAACGAGUGCCAGAGUCUGCAAUUUGAUACCUGCUGGGACUGGA